This 123-nucleotide ribosomal RNA is filed under the name Corynebacterium glutamicum. Lineage: Bacteria; Bacillati; Actinomycetota; Actinomycetes; Mycobacteriales; Corynebacteriaceae. The record is from RNAcentral.
UGUCGGUGGUGAUAGUAGCAGGGAAACGCCCGGUCCCUUUCCGAACCCGGAAGCUAAGCCUGGUUACGCUGAUGGUACUGCACUCGGGAGGGUGUGGGAGAGUAGGUUACCGCCGACCAAAAA